ACUGAAGAGCCCGAUGCAGACCGUCAUCACAAACAUAGGGAAUGCUUCAAGAAUACUUUUGUGAUCAACAAUGAUUUAACAGGUUCUGCAAAUUCAUCUUCAGCUAUUCGGGUUGUGGUACCAAACGUUGCUGCAACUCUGGCAACAGUUCUGUGUCAAAUGGUGCCCAGCUAACAACAGUGUCAGUUAUAUGUACCCAGAUUCUGCCGACUACAAGUAAGCCGAAUGUGUCGACUAUAAAUUACCAGAAUGUGACAAUGACAACUACACAUGCUAGCGGAAGUCUGCGUGCCAGUACAUUUGUCUCCUUCUUUCUUGCUACUUCAGUAGCUAAAAUUGUGUAAAAUUGUGUAUUUUUGAAAAGUCACAUGACAUCAGUCUCCAUGUUCUGUCUAUAAAACGUCACCAGGCGAUAAUCUUUUAAAAUUAAAAAGUUUCAAAAUA
This is a long non-coding RNA of Pseudophryne corroboree (corroboree frog), 444 nucleotides long. RefSeq lists it as uncharacterized. The transcript is spliced from 2 exons. The record is from RefSeq and is a predicted model, not a curated record. NCBI's taxonomy places the organism in Eukaryota, Metazoa, Chordata, Amphibia, Anura, Myobatrachidae.